GGGUGCUGCGGCUACUUAUGCCGUGAUCAUACGGGGAAUUUUCUAGGAUCUUCGGCUAUGGUUUUCAGUGGAAUAACGGACCCAGCGACUCUUGAAGCACUAGCAUGCCGAGAAGCGUUGGCCCUUGCUCUAGAUUUGUCUCUGACUAGAAUGGUCAUUGCAUGUGAUUGCAAAUCAGUGGUGCAAGAGAUAAAAGGUGGGACGGAAGGAAGAUACAGUGCAAUUAUUAAGGAAAUCUCAGAACGUUCGAGGGAAUUCACAAGUUGUAAAUUUCUCUUUGAAGGCCGUAGUUUAAAUUUUGAUGCACACAAUUUAGCUAAAUUUUCUGCGUUGUUAGAUGUGGGGCGCCACUUGUGGCUGUUUGUACCCCAUGACACUUUUGUCAUUCCUGUAAACUGUACUCCCAGUGAAUAA
RNAcentral lists this ribosomal RNA (414 nucleotides) under Triticum aestivum (bread wheat). RNAcentral's name for it is "partial small subunit ribosomal RNA". Lineage: Eukaryota; Viridiplantae; Streptophyta; Magnoliopsida; Poales; Poaceae. The record is from RNAcentral.